Molecule: ribosomal RNA, 1236 nt
Filed under: Tylorrhynchus heterochetus (Japanese palolo)
Lineage: Eukaryota; Metazoa; Annelida; Polychaeta; Phyllodocida; Nereididae
Description: 16S ribosomal RNA
Rfam family: Bacterial large subunit ribosomal RNA (bases 764-1141)
Source: RNAcentral
AACUAUAACCACCACUAACUCUAUAUAAAAAAAUCUAUAAAUAUUCUACAAAAUUCUCUGUAAAGACAAUAAUAUUAGUAAAAAGUAAAUAAUCUUGUACCUUUUGCAUCAUGGUAUUACUAAAUUCAUUUAACAUUAACCUAACCCGAAACAUAUUCGAGCUGUUUGUUAGCUGUUAAGCACCAAAACAUAAUGUAACAAUAUUAUAUAAAGACUAACAAACAGAGGCUACAUACCAUCGCGAUCUGUGAUAGCUGGUUUCAUUACCCACGAUAUAAGUCGGCUCAGUAACUAACUUAGAAAAUAAUAUAGGCAAAGCUAUAUUACAAUUUACCUAUAAAAAUUAUAAACAAACUAAACGUAGGACUAUAAAUACCCACCCAAAAUCAUGUCACAAUAUAAAUUCCCAAAUACAAAAAUCAUAAUAAUUAUGUUAAAAUUAAUGAAACCCCCUUCUCCUAAAUGGGGGAAUAUAAUGUAAUAACGAGUAUUUUUAAAUCACAAAUAAAUUAUAUAAUUAACCUAUAAAAUAAUACUAAACCUCAUAUUCAUAUAAGGAACUCGGCAAAUUCUUUCUUCGCCUGUUUAUCAAAAACACCGCCUAUUGCAAAUAUAAUAGGUCCAUCCUGCCCAGUGGUUAACUCAACGGCCGCGGUACCCUGACCGUGCAAAGGUAGCAUAAUCAUUUGCCCUUUAAUUGGGGGCUAGUAUGAAUGGACACACGAAGAAAAACUGUCUCAUAUGAACAACCAUAAACUAGAAUACAGGUGAAGAUACCUGUAUUAUUAUAUAAGACAAGAAGACCCUACAGCGCUUUAUCAAUGAUGCGUAACCCAGCUCUCAAAUAGAAAUAUACAGCUAAAGUUGAUUUGAUUGGGAUGAUCAAGGAAUCUAAUAAUCUUCCUGUACAACCACGAACGUCAGUUCUACAUCUUAUAAUAAACACGACCCAAGCAACCUUAGGGAUAACAGGCUAAUCCCCCUAGAGAGAUCACAUUGACAGGGGGGGUUGGCACCUCGAUGUUGGCUUAGCGUAUCCAUUAAAUGCAGCAGUUUAAUAUGGUCGGUUUGUUCAACCGUUAAAACGCUACAUGAGCUGAGUUCAGACCGGCGUAAGCCAGGUUAGUUUCUAUCUAUAAUAUUAAUAAUAUUAAGUCAUAGUACGAAAGGACCUGAUCUUAAAAAAUUAUUUUAAACACUGAAAACAUAUAAACAACAAUUAAAUACAAAUUAACU